GGCUUGGCGGUGGGACAGGGAGGUGCGGACGGAGCCUCCCUGCACAGCACCGCCCCUGGGCGGUGUUGGAGGAAACGCCGGUGGGGAAGAUCGGUCUCAGAUGUUUGAGGGACGCCAGGUGUUCGGACGGUUCCUCUAAAGGUCUGGAGGCCACGACAAGGCGCUGAGACCAUUUAGGAGAGCGCAGCCCUGGAGAAGAGAGCAAAGGACUGUAUCUCAGGAACCCGGACAGUUGUGAUGUUGGCUGACAGGGAUCCUGGGAAGGAAAUGUGAAAAUGAAGAGCAGGUAUUAGGAGAAAUGGACAGACAAGUGUUCCAGAAACUGAGGUUAAGAGGGUGACCUAAACCAAAGGUAGCAAUGACUUCGAAGACUUUCUGCCCUCUGGAGGGAGGAAGGGUGCUGGUGGAAGAUACUCAAGUAACUGCCCUUGGAAACUGACCUAUGAGCAGCACAGAAGAUGAAGGAGAAGAGGGACAUCAAGCAGAGAAAUGAGGAGGGUUCCUGAUCUCACCUGAAGACAAGCAUGUGCCCUGGAACAAGAAUUUUUCUGUCUUUCCUCAGUCCCAGAGGCAGGUUCUGGGACAGACUUCGGCCUCCCAAGGGGAUGUUACUGCCAAGCAAGAAGGAAACCCCAUAAAGGAGAUAUCCUGACUCUAGGGAAAGGUGGCAGCUUGGACAUGGACCUCCUCUGAAUUCACCCUCUUAUCUUUGGGCUGCACAAAGGUACCUCUGCAGUGGCCACUGUGAGCCAGGCGGUGAGGAGAAAAUGAGGCCGGGCAGGGCAUGGAGGACCUCUGAAUCCAGGACUUACUUCCCUUUCUGGGGGAAGGAGAAGGGGUGGAAGUGAAACAGCUCAGCGGGGCUCAGCCGACCAGAAAACGUCAGGAGGGACUUCUCGGCGUCUGGGAAAGAGGCGAGAACCGACAUGGCUGAGAAAAGUCCUAACCUAUGUGGGGUUCAGGGAUAAGAGGAAGAGAACAAAAGUGGAGACAGGAUAAUCACCUUCCUUUUAAGGGGAUCAAUUGGAAAUACAUCUAUGAAAUUGAUCCUGGACUAUUUUUUAUUUGUAGUAACUUUAGUGAAUGGAUAAUUUUCUUCAUAAUUUUAUGUUGAUUUUUUGUACCAUAUAAGAACCCACUUGCUUAUUUUUAAGUCAUGUUAUAUUUUACCCUUUCAUUCCUUUGAUAAUCUUGGAGGACUCUGAUGUUUCCAGACAUGGAAUCAAAAUGCAAAAAAUACUAUUUCACUUCAAUUACUACUUUUAUUUCUUCUUAAAAUUUUUAUCUUCUUUAUACAAGAUUUCUCUAAUAUUUUACUACUUAGUCUAAAAUUAACUCUGCUUAAUAAAUUUUUUUUUUAAA
Molecule: long non-coding RNA, 1362 nt
Organism: Neogale vison (American mink)
Lineage: Eukaryota; Metazoa; Chordata; Mammalia; Carnivora; Mustelidae
Exons: 5
Source: RefSeq, a predicted model, not a curated record